GGGCGAGUGGUGGAAUGGCAGACACAAGGGACUUAAAAUCCCUCGCCGCAAGGCAUGAGGGUUCGACUCCCUCCUCGCCCACCA
RNAcentral lists this transfer RNA (84 nucleotides) under Armatimonadota bacterium. Its description in RNAcentral is "Armatimonadetes bacterium (wastewater metagenome) tRNA-Leu". It matches the Rfam family "tRNA". Rfam says of the family: Transfer RNA (tRNA) molecules are approximately 80 nucleotides in length. Their secondary structure includes four short double-helical elements and three loops (D, anti-codon, and T loops). The record is from RNAcentral. Lineage: Bacteria; Bacillati; Armatimonadota.